Parus major (Great Tit) is the source of this 1633-nucleotide long non-coding RNA. The record is from Ensembl. NCBI's taxonomy places the organism in Eukaryota, Metazoa, Chordata, Aves, Passeriformes, Paridae.
UUUUUUUUUUUUUUUUGUCCUAUCCUCUUCCUCAGACCACUUAUCUCUGCCCCCUCCUCUCUGCCGGCACCAUCACAGCCUUCCUCUGAUCUGCCCCUUUAAGAAAAAUCAGCCCUCUCCGCUCCUAACCCUCCGCACACUGACCUUACACACUGGACAAUAUUUAAGGAUCAAGGUGCCAUCCUAUAAAGAGGGAACCAAGAGUUCACGUAGAUUUACAAACGAGGGCUUGCUGGAGAAAGUAACUGUAAGAACAUGUGUUAAAAACGCAGCAGAAAGAAUUCCAUCGAUUUCCAUGAGAGGUGGACCACAUCCAGGAAGAAUGAGUCAACUUCAUUCCUUGGGCAGAACUCACCAAGCUGAGGAGAAUUACACCAGGCAUGCCUUCAGAUCACCUUGUGUCCCCCCUCUUCGUGUACUGCUGUCCCACUAAUAACCUCUAAAAUGUGUUUAUGGCUUAGGACAGGGUGGGAAUUCUUCUAAAAAUGGCUUUUAAUCCCCGGAAAAUAACGUUUUAGGAAAUAUAUUCUCCCCUCGGUGUCACAUCAAUUGCAGAUAACUGUAUGAGCCUAAAAGCCUCUCACACACAGGACAGGACUGUCCAAGGCAGAACAGCUCAGAGCUCAAGGAAGGUGAAAGGCAGAAUUUACCCAUCACAGGGAUCCAUUCCUCUGUUCUGGCUGCUAAACCCCAUUUCUCCCUUCCCCACAAUUCUGGUGUUGAACUGAGCAAGGUUUUUGUUUCAUUUGUACAGAGGAGGUGAAAACUUUUGAAGGUGCUGCAAUAUUUCCUCCCCAGCUCCCUUCUCUCAGGCUAGGGUGACUCUGCUCACCCCCUCAGAAUGAGCAGAAGGUUGAAUUGAGAGAGAAACCUUUCUCCACUCACAAAUGCACAUUUAUUGUGGGGUUUUUUUACAGGUGGAAGAACAAACUACUCAUUUCUUUCAGAGAUCUGUGUUGAAAGAGCAAUGGACAAGUACUGUUAGAGUUCUGCUCUUUGCAUCCCAAGCUUCACACAGACCCUCCUGUACUUUAUUAACACAAAAAUGACACAUCAAACAUCUAACAGGGAGCUCAUCAGGCUUCUCCACCUUGCUGGUGGCUUUUUAGCCUAGAAAUUGGCCAAAUGAGAGCUUGUUGCAGCCCCAAAGGGACACCACAAUUUUGUUGUGAGGUGCAGACCAUGAUAAGCUCAUCAAUGAAUAGUUAAAAAACAAGCUUCAAAAGUGUGGUUAGAAAAUGAAAUGCAAAUAUAUACAAAAUAGCCAAUGGUUCCUGCGGAUAUAAAUGCUUGCCUACCUCAUGAGUGCUAUUUUCCAGCCAGCUUUCCAAGCAGAGCAGCCCUUGCACUCCUGUAUCUACAAUUGUGCCAUUUAUAAGCCAGGAGCCCACCUCGCCCAAGCACUGGUUCCUGCAGUGACUCAUGUUCCACUGGGUUUUUCCUGGGGAGAUUUGUGCUAAAACAGAGGAAAGAGCAGAAUUUUGGGGAAGUAAUGGCCCAGAUGGGAAAGCAUCAGACACUCUCACUGUUCCUUGUCAAAAAACCUGAAAACACUGCUUUACAGCCUGUGUGAGAGAAAGGCUUUUACAAUUGGUAUUAAAAUAAAAUAUUACACUGACACCUGGGUUAAACA